AGAAGGAGUCUCCAGUGUCAGCACUUUUGAACAGUCAGUAAGUUUUCCUCCACUGGAAAGUCUUGAGAGCAGAGGGCUUUGUGCUUUCUGGUUUCUUUGUAACAUGACAAGCUGUGGUUUUCUUGUCAAAUAACUUCGAGAGGGAAAAAAAGGCUGUUAUGAUUGAGGUCACAAGCCUGCAAGGUGCUGUCCUUGCCUUCCUGUCUGUCUCCACCGUGAGCUUCAUCUGUGCUCUCUGCAUACGCUGUAGGAAGAAAACUAUGAUUGUACAGGAGAGUAACCAACUCUAUGUUCCACAAAUAUUGAUGAACUCGUGUUAACACAUCUGGUGUUAAGCAUGUAAUUGCAUGUCCAUCACAACCUUGAGACAGCUUUCUGAUCCAGCCAUGAGAAUGCUUUCAAUACGUUGAAAAGUUCUGGAAGUCAUUUAGAUAGAAAGUGUUCAUUUCCCCUAUGUAUGGA
Ictalurus punctatus (channel catfish) is the source of this 462-nucleotide long non-coding RNA. NCBI's taxonomy places the organism in Eukaryota, Metazoa, Chordata, Actinopteri, Siluriformes, Ictaluridae. The record is from Ensembl.